CCUUGCAAUCAAGAAUAUAUGCAUGAGCAAGUUUCUGAAGUACAUGAGCACAAUAGGUGCUGCAUCCCAGAGUAAUAGCAGCCUGAAUUGAUGAUAGAAUCCAUUGCUUGAAUGUAUUGGAUGAAGUGGAUGUGUAAAGGGACAGGAGGGACCUCAUUCCUUCUAGCCUUAAUCUCACAAAAGGAUCUAUCUUUCACAGAUGAUAUCCUCCAUCCUUUCCCCUUGACUCUUCUUGAAGAUAUUUCUGGAUGUCCUCAAGAGCAGCUGAAGACUGAAGCAUAGUUGAUGCUUCUCAGAGUUUUCCCUCCCUGAUCUCAUCAUCCCAAUGAUUGUCAGCAGAGCUUUCCAGGAGUGUGUUGCUAAGUGAAGUGAUCAAGGAAGGUGAAGGUGUGGGAUGUUGCCUGCCAAGAAUAGAUGGAGCAUCAUGAUCAGAGGAGUCAUCAGAUGUGAAUUUUACUGCUGGGAGCUUAAAUUCCAGCAAUGUAGAGGGUUGAGGGCCAGUAGGGGGUUCUGGGCUAGAGAAACUAUCAAAUACACCAGUGGUAUAAGAUGAAUUUCCCUCCGAAAAUGGGUCUUCAUCUGGUAGUGUCGCCACACUCAAGGCUUUAAUCUGAGUGACAACAUCAUCAUGGACCAGUUCUUUGGUACAAGAUUGUUUCUUUUCCUUAUAGGGUGACAAGAACUCGAUGACCCUUUUUGCAGUGUUUUUGAAGUUAUUGAGGUGAUUUUGCAUGUAUUGUUUCUGUUGAGGCAUUGAGAAGUACUCAGAGGACUGUAAAUUACAUGUCACGACACAUUGCGACCACAAAAUAAUGAACUCCUCCCUCAUUUCCCCAUUUAGUGCCAGAAUUUUUCGAUUUAUUGAAAGUAAUACCAUAUAUCUACAAGAUGUUGGAGCUGGAUUUGGCAUAAACUACCUCUAUAAGUAUAAACCUAUUAUUUUAUGAUAUUUUAUCCUGUUUUGGUGAUGUCACACACAUCAUGUGAUGCUGGUUGGGUAUGGAUGUGGCCUACCUUAGCAGAAACUCAUAUCAGAUUUAUGUGAUAAAGUGAAUGAUUAGAGGCCUUGGGGUUGAAACAACCUUAACCUAUUCUCAAACUUUAAAUAUGUAAGAAUGAGCCAUUUCUUGACUGAACUGCUUGGUGAUUGAGAGUUUCUAGUGGGCCAUUUUUGGUAAGCAGAACUGGCGAUGUGGGAUGAACCAAACAUGAGGUUAAGGUGCUGGAAUUCAUGCUCGCUGGGCACCACAAAAGGUGUUAGUUCAUUUAGAUAGCAGGAUGGUGGCCAUAGAAGUCAGAAUCCACUAAGGAGUAUGUAACAACUCACCUGCCAAAUGAACUAGCCCUGAAAAUGGAUGGCACUUAAGUGUGAUACCCAUACCUCACCAUCAGCAUUGAAGUGAUGCACUGAUGAGUAGGCAGGCAUGGAGGUCAGUGAAAAAGCCUUGGCAGUGAUGCUGGGUGAAACAGCCUCUAGUGCAGAUCUUGGUGGUAGUAGCAAAUAUUCAAGUGAGAACCUUGAAGACUGAAGUGGAGAAAGGUUCCAUGGUAACAGCAGUUGGACAUGGGUCAGUUGAUCCUAAGAGAUAGGGAAGCUCUGUUUCAAAGUGCAUGAUUUUUCAUGCUGCCUAUCAAAAGGGAAUCUGGUUAAAAUUCUGGAACCAGGAUGUGGAUCUUUAACAGCAAUGUAACUGAACUUGGAGAUAUUGGCAGGAGCCCUGGGAAGAGUUAUCUUUUCUCCUUAACAGUCUACCACCCUGAAAUCAGAUGGUCUGGAGCUAGUGUUAAAUGACUGGUAGAGCACAACACCUCUGUUAUGUCCAGUGUGUUUCUGACAAUCCUUGAAAACCCAAGGGAAUGAAUAAUUUUCAUAUCUGGUCAUAAUCAUAACCACAGCAGGUCUCCAAGGUGAACAGCCUCUAGUUGAUAGAACAAUGUAGAUAAGGGAAGUCAGCAAAAUAGAUCUGUAACUUCAGGAAAAGGAUUGGCUCUAAGGGUUGAGUGUGUCAGGCCUUGGCUGGAAGCCUUGGGACCCAGCUAGGACUGCUUGGGGAGUAACCUCUGGGUGGACCUGGCCAGGACCUGGGUGUGGAUGGCCUUGGCUGCCCUUCACAGAGUGUCUGGCACAUGCUUAACAACCAACUUAGAACUGGUAUAGACAAGGGGAAUCUGACUGUCUAAUUAAAACAUAGCAUUGCAAUGGCCAGAAAGUGGUGUUGAUGCAAUGUGAUUUCUGUCCAGUGCUCUGAAUGUCAAAGUGGAGAAAUUCAACCAAGCAUGGGUAAAUAGCAGGAGUAACUAUGACUCUCUUAAGGUAGCCAAAUGCCUCAUCAUCUAAUUAAUGAUGCACAUGAAUGGAUUAACAAGAUUCCCACUGUCUCUAUCUACUAUCUAGUGAAACCACAGCCAAGGGAAUGGGUGAUGGUAGUGAAUAGGCAUUAUCUUCCAAAAAUCUGCAAAAAUGCUACUGGGUAUCCAUGGAUCGAGCGAGAAACUAGGCAAGCUCUGAAGUUCAGGGCUGGCACAUGGCCCUGCAUGUCUUCAGUAAUUAAAGUGGAAAAGCUAGACUGUGUUGGCAAUAGCAUUUAAGCUGACAAGUAAUUGAAGGGUCAAUUACUAAUAUGCCUUGGUGACCCUAUACUAUGGAGAUAAAAGAGAUGUGGGUCACCUGCCACCAAAGAGUCCAUAAAAUAAAGAGAGUACAAAAGUUACUUAUCUCAACUGAGGGAACACAUUGAAAAACAAGGCCCUUGGUGACUCAUGUUACAUUCCAGGUGUGGCUGGGAGGUCAAUCUGAGGAGGUAAAGUGAGGGAGGCCUCCAAGCAGCACCUGCUGGAUGAUGGCAUGAGCCUGAGACUAACUUCCUUUGCCCAACACUCACAUGGACAUGAGGGCACUCCCCUCAAGCCCUAUGAU
Molecule: ribosomal RNA, 2917 nt
Filed under: Leucoagaricus sp. SymC.cos
Lineage: Eukaryota; Fungi; Basidiomycota; Agaricomycetes; Agaricales; Agaricaceae
Description: eukaryotic LSU rRNA
Rfam family: Eukaryotic large subunit ribosomal RNA (bases 1-2429)
Source: RNAcentral